This is a long non-coding RNA of Peromyscus leucopus (white-footed mouse), 3081 nucleotides long. RefSeq lists it as uncharacterized. The record is from RefSeq and is a predicted model, not a curated record. NCBI's taxonomy places the organism in Eukaryota, Metazoa, Chordata, Mammalia, Rodentia, Cricetidae. The transcript has 2 exons.
AAGUUUAUGUAUAUAAUAUGUAAUAUAUGAAGCUUAUGUAUAGUAUACAUAAACUUUAUUAAGAUACUGUACUUGCCUCCAUCUUCUUUUUUUGCAGGAUUUUUAUGUAAAAACUAGGAGCCUUGUCCUUCCUACACUUGGUCCUCACCUACAGGUCCGUUUCCCAUUACUACCAGUCCCAACUAAUGCUCUUGUGUGUUCCUGUGAAUUAAAUACAAGCAAUUUAAAUCUGGACAAAUAUGAAUGCAUGUUCUUAAUUUUCCCUGUAUUUAGCACAAAGGAGGUUGUGGCGCACAUACCACUGUGUACUUUUUAGUACAUCGUUCCCUUAUUUCUUGAAGCUCUUGCACUUCCUAUUGUAUUUUAUUAUUCCUAUGUUUUUAGAAAAGUUCUUACUCCGUAGCCCAGGCUGCUCUUGAACUCAUGAUCCUCUGUCUCUUCCUCAGAGUCCUAAGUCCCAGGGUUAUAGACGUGUGCCAUGACACUGUCCUUGCUUUCUCAUGUUUGAAAUGUGUUUAAUCCAUCAUCUUGAGGUAUAAGAAUUUAUUUCAUCUCACUGUAGUCUUUUGCCCUUAUAAACAAGUAUAAUAGUUUAAUCCUCAAUAAAUAUGGUUAUAUUUAAAUAUGCUAGUCAAACAGACCCAAUGGCACCCCAAAAUUCAUUGGUAUAUCUAUUUUAUAUACCUAACUCAUAUAAUGACUACACCUGUGAAUAUAGUAAUGAAUUCUCCAAGAGCAAUCUAUGAGGAUGAGAUUCUCCACAGUCUCAGUAAAUAGGAAUUCCUCCCUCUUCCCCUUACUCCCUUCCUUUCUUCCCUCUUUCUUGUGUCUUUUCUAUGUAGACCAAGCUGACCUCAAAUUCUCAUCCUUUUGCCUCAGCCUCCUCAGCGCUGGGAUUACAAGUCUGUACCACUGUGGCUGCUUCAGUACACACCCGGAUAAUGCUCCUCUCUGUGGACCGUAUUUAUUACAUUAUUCCCUUGUGUUUGGAAAGCUGGGUUAUUUUGUUUAAAUGUUCAAUUCUCUGAGUAACAGGUAUUUGGAUGCUUUUGGAAACAAAGCGGCAUGAGGGAGGGGCCUUGGGGGCAGCUCCCCCCGAAGUGAUGCAUGUCACUGCAUGGCUGCAUUACAGCCAACUCCAUUGCAGGUAGCUCUGCAUGUUUAUAUUGCCCAGGUAGGCAGGUAUCCAGUGGAUCAGCUUAUUUGUCUUCAUGGUGGCAUACUUAGAAGUAGACCUGGGGACUGGCACAUGCUGGAUAAUUUCUUCACCAUGAAGCUCCAUUGCCCACCUAGUUCCACGUUCUUCUUUCAUCGCAGGAUCUCACUGAGUUGCACAAGCCUGUUCUCUUCAUGGAUGCUUAGCUAUGUUUUAAAAGAAGCUGCCUUAGGAAAAACCAUCUCCUCCUGAAACAUGGGGGCUUUGGGACCGAGGAAGCAACACUGGUGAAUGCAGCUGCCAUUGCCCUUUCUCUGGUGGCGUUAAUGUGUUACCCACAGUCAUAUAAUGUGAAUGAUACUGUCCUCCAGUAGCUCUGAGGGCCAGAGACUUAACACAUUUUAGGGCUGAAAGUUCUGGGCUACACCAUGCAGAAAUGUUAAUGAGAUUCUGAGUGGAGUCUCUAAUCUCAUAUGGUGUGCAGACAGUUAACUAAGCACGAUGCUUUGACUUUCUCGGGGUCAGAAUGACGUUAGGAGUCAGCCCUCUUGCAUCCUGACCCCCUGGCCUGGCCUUUAAGUCUCCUGGGAACACAUUGGGUGGGGCAUGGCAAUAGAGACUGAAACAAGCUAUGAAAAGGGCACGGAUAGAUCCAGAGCUCAGUGUUUCCAGACAACCCACCAAUCUGGGAUGGAGGCAGGGAGGGUCCAAGCUGGAAAGAAGUCAACCAGCUGGGGAGAAUUCAGGGAAAUAACAGGAGAGAUCCCUGUUUUGUCAAGGUAUCAAUCGUGAGAUUAUCUAAAAGCUUUUGGAGCCAAGCGAUAGCCAUGUUUUCUCUCUAGCAGCUUCGUGGUGACAGCAGCGCUGGGCUGUGUGUCUAACGUGUCACCUCCUUUCCCUAACAAGGUUCUUAAGUCUCUCUUGGGGUGGGCAUGGAGAAAACAGAAGGUGAGCGGGAGAAAUGUACCCUCCCUUCUUCUGACUCCUGGACUCUUGUCAACUGGAGAUGCAGUCCUGGGAGGAGGGAAAGCCUCCACCCACAUUAAAGCAGGUGAUACAGAAAGAUCCUCAACAGGUGGUGACACACAUAAGGAAGUGGCAUUAAGGAUCCAGAUCUGGUAGCAACAGAGGAAAGAUAGAAAGGCUGGGCUUAGGAGGAGCAUUGAAGUUAAAGUCAGCACUUGCAACAAAGUCACACAUUAGGUUGUGGUAGGUGCUUGUGGGUUCCAAGUUUCCUGGAAUUUCGGAAUCUUGGCAAUAAUGACAUCUCUCAAGAUAAACAAACCUCUGCAGUCAUGCACAAGUUGUUAAUGGUGGGGUUGGCCAGACUAGCUUUGUGAAGAACUUGAAAUAACUUGUGCUGAAUGAAGUCUAAGAGAAAUUAAUCCAGGUUGAGCCUUAGGAAUAACUACUUAGGUGUGUUGAUGAAUACCCGUGAUCUCAGCACUCAUGAGGCAGAGGUAGGUUGUUACAAGUCUGAGAGUAUUGUGGGUUACAGAAUUUAAUUCUGGGCUAUACAUGACCAUAUAGUGAGACCUGUCUAGUUCCCCCACAAAAGGUUCUACAUUUAGUGACAGGUGGACAACUAUGCCAAUGGACCGAAUCCAUGGAUAUGUGGUGUAAGAGCUGAGGACUGAGUGGAGACCGAAGGCAGUGGGGUAAUACAGGUCUAUGAACUCUACAUCAUGGGUGGAGACAAACAGGACCCUGCACUGAUUUCCAAGGGAAAUUGGGCCUAAGAGCUACCAUGCUUUUAUCCCAUAGGCAAGAAAGCUGGUGUGAGAGAGGAAACUAUGGUUUUGAAGAUAGGUGAGUACUAGGUGAGUCAGGUAGCUGGAAGAGAAUGGAGACCAAAGUUUAGAAAAUAUUUUAAUCUUGGGUGUUGGAAGAAUGAAGGAGAAACACUAUGAAUUGAUCUCAGAAAA